CUUGACACCCACGUGGCCGAUGCCCACAGCCAGCACGCUCUUGCGUUUGGAUUUCUGACAGGCCUCAGCGAUGGACAUGUCCACUCGGAGCAGUGGGCCCUGGCCUUCUCCUUCAGCCACCACAGUGGGCCACCAAGGUUUCCCACAUGGACUGAAAACAAGCAGCUCUCCAGUAAUCAUCCAGAACUCCUGAGCCAGAUUGGGACUACAGCGACAUCCAAACUCACACAUUGAACAACUACCAGGUUCUCCACUUUUCCAUCAUGAGACAACCAUUAUUGGACUACCUGGACCACAGCCAGUGCCUUGUGCUUCGUAGGAAAAACAGAAAAGCAAGAUUAUCUUCUCUUUGCAUGACCUGAUGAGACAUGGCACACUCUUUGAAGGACUGUCAGGUGGGCAGCAGUGACAUGAUCAUGCCACCUGGUGAGUUCAGCUCGGCUACAUUUGGACAGAACAAGAAAGCUCAGGCCAGUGUCAUGGACUGAACCAUUAAAAAGACCCGUAAUUGUUCAGUCAAGGCCCAAACAGACAUAAAAACUCUUGCACUGUGGAGAACAGGGAAGGGAGUUUUAGAGUCCCUGGCCGGGAAAUGCCCUGGCUUCAUCCUCAUAUGCCUGAUAUGUUCUCAGUAAGCACAGACAUUGCCCACUGGGCAGCCCAGGGACAAUACAGCGCAGUGGUGGGCACAGAUCCACCUAGAUGGGAUGCUCUAGGACAUUUUCCUCACCUUCAGCACCGUGGACACAGCAUUACCUUUUGGGUUCCCAGGACAAACCUGAAACUCCUGAGAUACUAAUGGGAAUCACUGCACGCAUAUUAGGGAUCAGCUGCCGCUCAGGGGAUGCCUCUCUUGCAAAAACAGAUGCCACCAGAGCAAGUUUAAGCAGUGUGUCCCUCAGCUGUCAGGUUAGCAAGAAGGUCUGCAGAGCCCUGCUGGGCUGGAGACCCAGGGAUCAGCCAUGGCCAAAGCCUCGUGGUCAGCCAUACCUAGAAAAGCCAUGCUCAGCCUUUCCCUAAAGGCUCACUGCUUCCCUUAUCAGCAGACCAAUCCUGAUUUCGGGAGCAUCUCUGCUUGCUCACCUGGCCACACUCAUCUUAGACCCUAUUGCUGCAGAAAGAGGAGGCAGUGGGAGCCUCUUUACAUAUGAUGGGUUGAAAAAAAAUCUAUUUCCUCUCUGCCACUGGUGGAAAGAAGAAACCCAAAUUCGGUCCUGGGCUGCUGUGACACUACCCGUGUGGCCCAGGGAGUGUGCCCCAAGGUAAGCCAACAGCUGCACAAGGCUCCCCCGAUAAAAGCAAAACCCCAUCUGUGGACAGGCAGCAGGUGUCGUAAAAGCCGCUGUUAAAAAUACACACAGGAGGUGUGUGAGAUGGCUCAUUGGAUCGAAGUACUGGCUGUGCAAGCCUGAUGAGACAAAUUAAAUCUCAAAAACCCAUGUCAAAGUGAAAUGAGAGAGAACAGACUCCUUAAAUUUAUCCUCUGACCUCCACACGUUCACUAUGGCGCGCGCAUGCGCACACACACACACACACACACACACACACACACACACAUACACACACACACACCUAAAACACACACACACACACACUACUACUACUACUACUACUACUACUACUGACUACUAUUACUACUAAUUUAAAAACCUAGAUGAUCAGGCUAAUAUUAGAGAUGUGGGAACAACCAGAAAAGACUGGAUUAAAAAUAAACCAAGGAAAAAGCAAUCACUAAUGAAAUAAAAGGGCAAAGGAGGAAUAAAGCAGAAACUACACUAUGAGACCAGGGGUGAGCAGAAGGGGAAAGGCAGAGAUGUGUGGAGACCUACACAGAAUUUCUAGAAAUAGAAAACUGAGCAGCAUGUGUUGGCAUAACCCUGCAGUCUUGGGACUUAGGAGGUGGAGGCAGGAGGAUCAAGAGCUGGAGGCCAGCCUGGGCUACAUGAGGCCCCCAACUCAAAGAAAAGAAUGGGGGGGUAUGGCAAGUGAGUAAAUCACUUGGGGUGCUUUAUACAACAGACAAGACAUGACUGAGGAGAGAGCUGUCUUACCAUCAACACAGCCAAUGUGUUUACUCAGGAUCAGGAAAAAAGAAAAGACAAAGACAGGUAGAUGGGGAAGAAGAAAGGGGAGCAAGAAUAGCCAAUGGUCCAGCUACAAGUUUCAGGAGAAAAUCGGAGUGAGCAAGGCAACGUUCUAGAAUGUUCUAGAACAUUCUACGCCAUGGUGACAGCAAUCCAACAUGAAGGCAAAUGGCAGCUGUGAAGAGAUGACUUCGGGUGAUGCUGCUUGGGCUCCUGGAUCUGGCUGGACCCGAAGGCAUGAGUGCCUGCCCACAGGCUACUCCUCCAUUCUGUGGAGGUCAGUGGAGGCUGAGUCUCUGCUGUUUGGAGCAGAGAGCCCAGAGCUGAGUUCUGUAGAGCAAGAGGACCGCACUUGCCUCCUCUACCCACCCCCAACCCAUUUUAAAGCACGAGGACCAUUUUAUUAGAGCCUGACAGAAAAAUACAGGGCAAGCAAGUUGUAAAACUUGGCGGCUGCCAGAAAGAGGGAGGAAAAAAAAAGGGAAAGAGAGAAAAACCGCUUAUCUUUUGAGUUCGCGUCAACCCUGGAAGUCUGCAAGCAGCUAUCUGUGGGGUGUGGGAUUUCAGGAAAAGAAGAAAAAGCUCAGAGUGUGAGGGCUGGGCAUACUUCAGAUUUUGUCAAAAGAUGAGGAAAAAAAGGGUCAAGAGGAAGAGUUCUGCUUUAGAGUUUGAGUCUGCGCUAACUCGAAAUCUCACGACGGUGUAGGACAAUUAUCCUGCCACUCAGCAGCGGUGAGCUCAGCUUCCCACCAGCAGCUUCGCGUUUAUCUUAUUCAUCUGUGCUCAAAGGCAUUUCUGGCUUGGGAACCUGAGUUCUUGUGUGAAGCCAGAAAUGCCAAGGAGGUAACACCCACCGGGGGGGGGGGGGGGGGGGGGACAGUCCUGGAUGAACAAUGGAUGGGUGUUGUUAUCCUGAGCCCGGCUCUCUUGGCCUUUGAAGGGGGGGUACGUCCCUGGCCUUUUUCUGCAUGGUCUCUCCAGUGGCCGUGGAGGGUGAACUUAGCUUCAUCAGUGGCCGAGUGGGUGACAUAGCCUUACUGCCUUGCACACUGUCCGCUUUGCCGGCUGAGGGGCCUUCAUUGUCCUUGUGAGCCAGGAAUCAUUGCUUCAGCCUCAGCUUGUGGGGAAACUGACGUGGACUGCAUGCGGCUCUACGCCUUUGAGUUCUACACUUGGAGCUCCAUCUGAGUCACCUAAUAAGCCCCCUUCUCAUGCUUAUACCACCCACCAGAAUCCCAGGAAGUUAAUAUAAACCAAGCCCUGCUUGAAGGACAAACGGCUGGAUUGAAAUUCCAUCAGCUCUGCCUUGGGAGUGAGAUCUGGUCCUUCUAUCGUCUCGUUACCGCAAGGUUGGAAACUUCACUGGGGAAUCCAACACACAUCUCUCCCAAGAUGGCAAAUGCCAAGUGACUUCAAAUGACACAUGGCCACCGGUGAUUUAGACCCUGCUUCUUUAAAGAGUCAUGCCUGCAAAUUGAAGAUGCUCUAUCUACGAGUCUCCUGCAUCGGGGCUGGGCAUCCAAUUAUUGCUGGUUGAUGAAGACAGAUGGGUCAUGUUGGAUGUAGGUGGUAGCUUUUUAACCUAUAUCCUAGAGGCUACAGUGCCUGUCCAUUCUAAUCCACGGCCCAUUCUUAGCAAGGAGCGUCCAGAUUUUGACUUUUUCCUCUGUUCCUUUAACUCAUUUUUUUCUCUUGUCUUGCAUGUAUGAAGGUUAGAAGUUGACAUGAUGUGUCUUAACGGCUCUCCACCUUAGAUUUUGAUACAGGGUCUCACUAAGCCCGAAGCUUGCUGAUUCAGCUAGGUCCACUGGCCAGCAAGCCCCAUGGGAUCCUAUUGUCCCCCACCUCUGCACAGCUGGGGUGACAAGCGUGUAUCACCGUCUUUAUCUGUGUCACAUGGUGCAGUUGUUUGUGGGGCAGAGAUGGCCUCUUGGGCUACCUAGCCAGCGGAUGGUGGAGUUACAGUCUCCUUUAAAGUCACCAGCUCAUGCUGCUGGUGGGGGAAGAGGGUGUGAGAGCCUGGGGAAGACUGUGUUGUGGGUGAGAGAGGUGGAGAAGUCGAGGAAGAAGGAACUGAUAGCCAUGAGCGCCUGAGGGAGGUACCCAGACAAUUACAAUAACGGCCCAAGAGAUGGAGACCUCAGUCAUCCACAGCAAGAAUCUUUCUCCCAAGCAGCAAUGACCCUGGACGUAGGUCCAGAUCCUUGGAUGAGAAGUCAGCAUUGUGACACCUUGAAUGCAGGGCCCAGCUGAGCUUCCACGGCACUGGGAGAGUGUGGCAGUAGGCUGUUAAGCAGUCAUGAUGGUUACAUGGCAGUAGCCAGCUGAUACACCCAUGCGUGCAGCGUACCAUCCCAGGGUCGUCCUUGGAGCCCACAGCAGGGAUGAUGUGGUCACGUGGAUUUCACAUAGCCUGUGUCGCCUGUCUGGACCACUAACUCAGCCGUAGAGACAGAAGAAUAGGCAGCUUGUGUCUGCCAGUGAUGCAACCCUGCAUGGCAUCUGGGAUUUUCUGGUCUUCCCUAGGAGCACCAAACCUUCCUGGCUUUGCGCUGCCCGCCCACUGAUGGUCACUGUGUUCUGUCUUAGUAGUAUGUCUGCUCCCACAGACAGUUUUGUUCCUAUUAUGUUAUGUGAAGAACUGUAGCCUCCACAGCUUCCUAUUCAGGUCUAGAUCUUGUCGCCUGUCCCAGCCAUGGCAGGCCAAGCUCCUAGCAUAUCCUGUCCGCAGUGGUGGUUAACAGGAGCUUCCCUGCAGCCUGCCACCUUCUCCCAGCUGUGCGGCACCCAUGGGAACCAGCUUUAAAGCCAAAUGCCCGAGCCAACAUGGGGCCUGCCCUGGUGGAGUCCCGAGGUCCUCACGGCUUCUGCUCUUAACAGUGAUGGAUAGUGACUGUCACUCAUGGGGGGAACGGUGACAGAGACAUUUUUUUUUGUAUCACGCAAUAGUUGAUUCUAAUUUAAUUCUCAAAUGUGAAAUGAAGUGGGUCCCUCUACGGAAUGAGGUCCUGCGGCUACCCAGGUCGAGUCCUCCCAGAGCUCUGCCUCCAGAAUCAUCUUCAGUGCAGAAGUACGUGGGACUCCACGUUCCCUCCCCCUUCCUACGAGCUCCCAGGCUCCCCUUUCUUGCAAUGGUAUUUGCUGCGAGCCGACCAUGCACAGCGAAGGAUCAGUUCUACAAAGCACCGCCCGCAUGGAAAGUUAUCCCGCAGCCCCCUUCCCAUAAGGUCAAGAGCAAAUAGGAGCGGAGCACACGUUAACAGCAACUUCAGCGAUGUAGUGACUACAUAAUGGCAGUGGCGGAGGAGGCCGAGAUCGACAAGGCUGUGAGGACGGCAUUAGUGAGCAGAGGGGGGGGGUGGGGGUUGAAACUGUGGCUGGAAAGGAGCCAGGGCAGUGUUCAAGGGUGAGUGCGCCCAUGGGAACACAUCUCAGACCAGAAAGACUGCAAGGGUAGAAGCCCAGAAGGGCUUUGUAGAAAGGGGGCAUGUGAAGCCCAUGGGAGCCUGAGAGAGAUGGAGCCAGGGAGUUGGGGACAGAGAGCAGGCUGGGCUGCCCCUGCUGGGGUAUGAGGGCCCUGGAAGGAAUGGGGACCUGAGAGGGAGCAGUUGAUGUGGUCUGCACAGUGCCUCCUCAGCCCAGGAGAGGACAUUGAGAGGGGAGU
Molecule: non-coding RNA, 5748 nt
Organism: Peromyscus maniculatus bairdii (prairie deer mouse)
Lineage: Eukaryota; Metazoa; Chordata; Mammalia; Rodentia; Cricetidae
Source: RefSeq, a predicted model, not a curated record